Molecule: ribosomal RNA, 143 nt
Filed under: uncultured eukaryote
Lineage: Eukaryota
Description: partial 18S ribosomal RNA
Rfam family: Eukaryotic small subunit ribosomal RNA
Source: RNAcentral
UGGUGGAGUGAUUUGUCUGGUUAAUUCCGUUAACGAACGAGACCACUGCCUGCUAAAUAGCCCAGUGAGUGAAUCUUCACUGACUGCUGGCUUCUUAGAGGGACGUGCAUUCUUUUAGAUGCAGGAGGAUAGUGGCAAUAACA